This is a long non-coding RNA of Eriocheir sinensis (Chinese mitten crab), 2184 nucleotides long. RefSeq lists it as uncharacterized. The transcript has 3 exons. The record is from RefSeq and is a predicted model, not a curated record. NCBI's taxonomy places the organism in Eukaryota, Metazoa, Arthropoda, Malacostraca, Decapoda, Varunidae.
AGUCUAUACAGCCCUUUCUAGACCAUAAAUAUAAAUAAAUCAUGCACUUAAGUUUCCCUGUUUCGUAUUGUCGUAGGAGUUUCAGGAAUCAAUGCAAAUAUAGUUCAGGAUAAUCCACUUUUCUUUUUAAUUUAGGUCAACAUUUUCAGCCCUUUCAUGACCCUAAAUACAAAUAAAGCAUGCACUCAAGUUUCCCUGUUUCGUAUUGUCGUAGGAGUUUCAGAAGUCAGUGCAAAUAUAGUUCAGGACAAUCACAUUUCUUUUUAGUAUAAGUUGACAUUUUCAUCCCUUUCCAGAACCCAAAAACAAAUAAAAAACAUGCACUCAAGUUUCCCAAUUCACAGUUUCAGGAGUUUCAGGACGUACCACGUUUCAUUUUCUAGAAUUUGAUCGUUUCCCAAGUUCAAAUAUAUAUACAAACAAUCGUAGAAAGUUUCCUCCACAUAGUCACAGUUUCAGGAGUUUCAGGACAUACCACGUUCCAUUUUCUAGAAUUCCGUCAUUUCUCAAGACUAAAUAUAUAUACAAACAAUCGUAGAAAGUUUCCCCCAUUUCACAUAGUCACAGUUUCAGGAGUUUCAGGACAUACCACGUUUCAUUUACUAGAACUUGAUCGUUUCCCAAGUUCAAAUAUAUAUACAAACAAUCGUAGAAUGUUUCCUCCAUUUCACAUAGUCACAGUUUCAGGAGUUUCAGGACAUACCACGCUCCAUUUUCUAGAAUUCCGUUAUUUCCCAAGACUAAAUAUAUAUACAAACAAUCGUAGAAAGUUUCCUCCACAUAGUCACAGUUUCAGGAGUUUCAGGACAUACCACGCUCCAUUUUCUAGAAUUCCGUCAUUUCCCAAGACUAAAUAUAUAUACAAACAAUCGUAGAAAGUUUCCCCAGUUUCACAUAGUCACAGUUUCAGGAGUUUCAGGACAUACCACGCUCCAUUUUCUAGAAUUCCGUCAUUUCCCAAGACUAAAUAUAUAUACAAACAAUCGUAGAAAGUCUCCCCAGUUUCACAUAUCCACAUUUCCACGACAUGAGCGCAAAGGUAGUUCAGGACACGUUUUCUUUCAAUAUACAUAAGUUCCCGUUGAUGCUGUGCGCUGCAAGGUGGUGGCAUAGCACUGUCUUGGGCGUGGUAGGGGCGGGUGGUGGUGCGUUGGACUCAAGCAUCGCGGGUGAGAAGGAAGAUGCGCAGACUGACGCACUCACGCACCCUAGUUUAGUAUGUGAAGGGUAGACUCAGAACAUUCCAUUGUAGUAUUAAGAAAUGUAAAUUGAUGCGUCGUUAAGUCUUAUGGGAAAUGUGAUGUGAUGACGCUGAAUGUCUUAUAGGAAAUGUAAAUUGAUGCUUCGUUAAGUCGUAUAGGAAAUGUAAACUAACGCCGCUGGAAGUCUUUUAGGAAACGUUAACUCUCAUAGGAAAUGUAAACUAACAUCACUGGAAACCUUCGGCAACGCAAUUUAACGCCUCGGAAGUUAUAGCAAAUGUAAACUAAUGCCAUGUUAAGUCUUAUGGGCAAUGGAACCAACAAUUCGUAAGUCUUAUAGGCCGCAAAACUAACACCAUGCAAGUCUUAGGCCAUAUAACUGAACAUUUUUGAAGUCUUAUAGGCCACUGAACUGAUGUCUUGUAAGUCUUAUAAGGCCAUGGAACUGAGGUCUCUUGAGUCUUAUAGCCCACGAAACUUACGCUAUGUUAAUCUAUAGGCCACAGAACUGAUGCCUUGUAAUCUUAUAAGGCCAUGGAACUGAGGUCUCUUGAGUCUUAUAGCCCACGAAACUUACGCUAUGUUAAUCUAUAGGCCACAGAACUGAUGCCUUGUAAGUCUUAUAAGGCCAUGGAACUGAGGUCUCUUGAGUCUUAUAGCCCAUGAAACUUACGCUAUGUUAAUCUAUAGGCCACAGAACUAAUGCCUUGUAAGUCUUAUAAGGCCAUGGAACUGAGGUCUCUUGAGUCUUAUAGCCCACGAAACUUACGCUAUGUUAAUCUAUAGGCCACAGAACUGAUGCCUUGUAAGUCUUCUAAGGCCAUGGAACUGAGGUCUCUUGAGUCUUAUACCCCACGAAACUUACGCUAUGUUAAUCUAUAGGCCACAGAACUGAUGCCUUGUAAGUCUUCUAAGGCCAUGGAACUGAGGUCUCUUGAGUCUUAUAGCCUACGAAACUUACGCUAUGUUAAUCUAUAGGCCA